GCCUGCUUGGCCAAGCGGUUACGGCGUCUGCCUCGUAUGAAAGCUGUGCGCGCAAGCGUUGGCGGAAACUACAGACAGCAGAAGAUCUCUGGUUCAAAUCCGGAAGUGGGCA
Martensiomyces pterosporus is the source of this 112-nucleotide non-coding RNA. The record is from the annotation of a GenBank genome assembly. NCBI's taxonomy places the organism in Eukaryota, Fungi, Kickxellomycota, Kickxellomycetes, Kickxellales, Kickxellaceae.